ACGGGCCGCACAAGCGGUGGAGUAUGUGGUUUAAUUCGAUGCAACGCGAAGAACCUUACCAGGUUCUUGACAUCCCGAUGCUUAUUUCUAGAGAUAGAAAGUUACUUCGGUACAUCGGUGACAGGUGGUGCAUGGUUGUCGUCAGCUCGUGUCGUGAGAUGUUGGGUUAAGUCCCGCAACGAGCGCAACCCCUAUUGUUAGUUGCCAUCAUUCAGUUGGGCACUCUAGCGAGACUGCCGGUAAUAAACCGGAGGAAGGUGGGGAUGACGUCAAAUCAUCAUGCCCCUUAUGACCUGGGCUACACACGUGCUACAAUGGUUGGUACAACGAGUUGCGAGUCGGUGACGGCGAGCUAAUCUCUUAAAGCCAAUCUCAGUUCGGAUUGUAGGCUGCAACUCGCCUGCAUGAAGCCGGAGUUGCUAGUAACCGCAGGUCAGCAUACUGCGGUGAAUACGUUCUCGGGCCUU
Molecule: ribosomal RNA, 467 nt
Filed under: uncultured Streptococcus sp.
Lineage: Bacteria; Bacillati; Bacillota; Bacilli; Lactobacillales; Streptococcaceae
Description: bacterial SSU rRNA
Rfam family: Bacterial small subunit ribosomal RNA
Source: RNAcentral